AUCUCCUUCUUCCCUAAUCCAAGAUUGGAGAAAUAAGAUCUAAGAGGGACCUAUGGAGAAUGUUGUCAGAAAUCCAUAAUUGAGUCCGACCACAACGACCGAAUUAAUUAUCCCCGUGCCCGUGCUCAGUCUGGGCGACAGACCCAGGGUCUGUUGCACCGACAAACGGGUGUAAGACAGUUUUGCACAUGCAGAAUACUUGGGUUAAACUUGAGAAGCCUAGCAUGUACAGACCUGGUCUCGGAACACUAG
This 252-nucleotide ribosomal RNA is filed under the name Triticum aestivum (bread wheat). RNAcentral's name for it is "partial small subunit ribosomal RNA". The record is from RNAcentral. Lineage: Eukaryota; Viridiplantae; Streptophyta; Magnoliopsida; Poales; Poaceae.